This 227-nucleotide long non-coding RNA is filed under the name Elaeis guineensis (African oil palm). Its description in RNAcentral is "long non-coding RNA (EGUI_LNC051024)". Lineage: Eukaryota; Viridiplantae; Streptophyta; Magnoliopsida; Arecales; Arecaceae. The record is from RNAcentral.
AUGGUAUGGGUAAGUAUAUGAUAUUCAAAUUUGAAACUUUUGAAAGGUUCAAAGAAUUUAGAUGUAAAGUAGAGAAGCAAAUCGAAAAAAUUUCUAUAGGUACUUCGAUUGAAUUGAGGAUGCAAUACUGAUGAAAAAAAUUUCUCGAUUAUCUCAUAAAAUGGUAUAGUUUCAUAUUGGACCCCUAUUAGUACAUCUCAGCUCAACGAGAUAAGAAGAGUCAUGGG